GACGAACGCUGGCGGCGUGCUUAACACAUGCAAGUCGAACGAAGAGCGAUGGAAGCUUGCUUCUAUCAAUCUUAGUGGCGAACGGGUGAGUAACGCGUAAUCAACCUGCCCUUCAGAGGGGGACAACAGUUGGAAACGACUGCUAAUACCGCAUACGAUCUAAUCUCGGCAUCGAGGAUAGAUGAAAGGUGGCCUCUACAUGUAAGCUAUCACUGAAGGAGGGGAUUGCGUCUGAUUAGCUAGCUGGAGGGGUAACGGCCCACCAAGGCGAUGAUCAGUAGCCGGUCUGAGAGGAUGAACGGCCACAUUGGGACUGAGACACGGCCCAGACUCCUACGGGAGGCAGCAGUGGGGAAUCUUCCGCAAUGGACGAAAGUCUGACGGAGCAACGCCGCGUGAGUGAUGACGGCCUUCGGGUUGUAAAGCUCUGUUAAUCGGGACGAAAGGCCUUCUUGCGAAUAGUGAGAAGGAUUGACGGUACCGGAAGAGAAAGCCACGGCUAACUACGUG
This 510-nucleotide ribosomal RNA is filed under the name uncultured bacterium. Its description in RNAcentral is "partial 16S ribosomal RNA". It matches the Rfam family "Bacterial small subunit ribosomal RNA", at positions 28 to 507 of the family's 1533-position model. The record is from RNAcentral.